Molecule: ribosomal RNA, 254 nt
Filed under: uncultured bacterium
Lineage: Bacteria
Description: partial 16S ribosomal RNA
Rfam family: Bacterial small subunit ribosomal RNA
Source: RNAcentral
UACGAGAGGCCCAAACGUUAUUCGGAUUUACUGGGCGUAAAGAGCGCGUAGGCGGCCUAUUAAGUCAGGGGUGAAAUCUCCAGGGCUCAACCCGGAAACUGCACUUGAUACUGUUAGGCUGGAGUGUCGGAGAGGUGAUUGGAAUUCCUGGUGUAGCGGUGACAUGCAUUGAUAUCAGGAGGAACACCCAUGGCGAAGGCAGAUCACUGGCCGACAACUGACGCUGAGGCGCGAAAGCGUGGGUAGCAAACAGA